RNAcentral lists this ribosomal RNA (301 nucleotides) under uncultured bacterium. Its description in RNAcentral is "partial 16S ribosomal RNA". It matches the Rfam family "Bacterial small subunit ribosomal RNA", at positions 509 to 807 of the family's 1533-position model. The record is from RNAcentral.
CAGUAGCCGCGGUAAUACAGAGGGUGCGAGCGUUAAUCGGAAUUACUGGGCGUAAAGUGCGCGUAGACGGUUUUGUAAGUCAGAUGUGAAAUCCCUGGGCUCAACCUGGGAACUGCAUUUGAUACUGCAUGGCUAGAGUAUCGAAGAGGGAAGUGGAAUUUCCGGUGUAGCGGUGAAAUGCGUAGAUAUCGGAAGGAACACCAGUGGCGAAAGCGACUUCCUGGUCGAAUACUGACGUUCAUGUGCGAAAGCGUGGGGAGCAAACAGGAUUAGAUACCCCAGUAGUCCCUGUCUCUUAUAC